UGAGGAAUAUUGCACAAUGGGCGAAAGCCUGAUGCAGCGACACCGCGUGAAGGAUGAAGGUCUUAGGAUUGUAAACUUCUGUUAAGUGGGAAAAAAGGCUUGUUUCAAAUAAAAAUAAGAGAUGAUGGUACCACUAAAGAAAGCACCGGCUAACUUCGUGCCAGCAGCCGCGGUAAUACGAGGGGUGCAAACGUUAUUCGGAAUUACUGGGUGUAAAGGGUACGUAGACGGCGUUUUAAGUCAAUUGUUAAAUUUCCCGGCUUAACUGGGAGCAGGCGAUUGAAACUAAAAUGCUAGAGAGUGGAAGAGAGAAGUGGAAUUCUCGGAGUAGCGGUAAAAUGCGUAGAUCUCGAGAGGAACACCGAUGGCGAAGGCAGCUUCUUGGUCCAUUUCUGACGUU
RNAcentral lists this ribosomal RNA (400 nucleotides) under uncultured bacterium. Its description in RNAcentral is "bacterial SSU rRNA". It matches the Rfam family "Bacterial small subunit ribosomal RNA", at positions 355 to 747 of the family's 1533-position model. The record is from RNAcentral.